UACGUAGGGUGCAAGCGUUGUCCGGAAUUAUUGGGCGUAAAGAGCUCGUAGGCGGUUUGUCGCGUCGGCUGUGAAAGCCCGGAGCUCAACUCCGGUCUGCAGUCGAUACGGGCAGACUUGAGUGUUGCAGGGGAGACUGGAAUUCCUGGUGUAGCGGUGAAAUGCGCAGAUAUCAGGAGGAACACCGGUGGCGAAGGCGGGUCUCUGGGCAACAACUGACGCUGAGGAGCGAAAGCGUGGGGAGCGAACAGG
This 252-nucleotide ribosomal RNA is filed under the name uncultured bacterium. Its description in RNAcentral is "partial 16S ribosomal RNA". It matches the Rfam family "Bacterial small subunit ribosomal RNA", at positions 524 to 776 of the family's 1533-position model. The record is from RNAcentral.